AACAAGGCGUACCUGCGGACCUGCGGAGGGAUCAUUACACAAUAAACAUAUGAAGGCUGCACCGCCAACAGGCGGCAAGGCUGGAGUAUUUUAUUACCCUUGUCUUUUGCGCACUUGUUGUUUCCUGGGCGGGUUCGCCCGCCUCCAGGACCACAUGAUAAACCUUUUUUAUGCAGUUGCAAUCAGCGUCAGUACAACAAAUGUAAAUCAUUUACAACUUUCAACAACGGAUCUCAGAUC
Molecule: unclassified non-coding RNA, 240 nt
Filed under: soil metagenome
Description: partial contains 5.8S ribosomal RNA, internal transcribed spacer 2, and large subunit ribosomal RNA
Source: RNAcentral